RNAcentral lists this long non-coding RNA (1493 nucleotides) under Neodiprion lecontei (redheaded pine sawfly). Its description in RNAcentral is "uncharacterized LOC124292705". The record is from RNAcentral. Lineage: Eukaryota; Metazoa; Arthropoda; Insecta; Hymenoptera; Diprionidae.
GAUCUGUGCUCGUCUUCGUCACCCCAUAUUAUGUAGCUCACUGAACGAUACAUGCAGUUGCCAUCCCCAAAUAUUUUAUACACGCUGAAAGUACCUUCGGGAGAUUCGAACUGGUCCGUAAUUUCUUGAUGAUGAGAAAAAAAAGAAACAUUGUCAAAAUCAACCUGCGACGAGAAUCGUUGAAUUCGGCCGAAAGAUACGCAUAUACGUUGAGAAUAAUUGAGUAAAGUGAUCGGUCGAUGAAGGGGAAUCCUACAAAUUCCAGCUGAUUGUCGCAAUUCGUACAGAACGUAACGAGUGACGACUCCGGGGAGUGGAUGGUUUUUCAGGGAAAUUAUUUUUCAAUUUCCUUCGGCCGUCGUAUAGCUUGUUGCAGUUAUAAUCACUCGCCGGGAAGAAAAUAGAUUGGCUUCUUUUUCCUCUGCCACUGUCACCUCUGUCACAAUUACGAGCAUACGUAACCUCAACGGGACAACGCAGAGGUUUGCUUUUCUUCUUCAGCCGCGCAGAAUUGAACUGACUAUCUACAAGAAAUAUAAAUGACCUACUAUUGAAAUAGAUUUUCACCUAUUUUUCUGAAAAUUCGAAACUUAUUAAGUUGAUGCCAACAGAAGAUAACCCCUAAAAGUAAACCAAACUGUUCGGUGAGUCUAGAUUAAUUAUUAAUGUUACCAACCGUUCGCUCGUAUUUGAGCGUAUAAAUUUAUGCACCAAAUGCAGGGCGAACAAAGCGUGCCCAAGAGCGCCAACGACUGGAAGCUGCGAUCGUCCAGUUUAAUUUCUUCGGAACUCAAAAAUCGAAGAAGACCACUACGCUUUACGUUCUUCCUCUGCGUUUAAUUUUUCAUUAAUUUCGUUCAACAGCCGCAGUGAAGUACCCGGGACAAAAUAUAAGUGAAUAAAUGUCGAAGCGGCGGAAGAUGCUCGCUACCAUCAUUGCUAGAACAGAUAGUGAUUCAUGAUAAGAGUAGUUGUGCAAAUUUAUAAUUUUCAAUUGAAUUUUCUGGCUUGAGGGCCCAAGAACUCGCGGUUGCAGCUUUGGUAAAAAACAUACGUCGGAGCGUAACACGAUAAAUGCGAGUGUCAGUUUAUUCUGCUGUUAGUAUUCCUGCAGAAUCUAAUGAAGUGAGCUCGAAUUUUGCAACAAUUAUAAAUUCUGAUAACGAUAUUUCGCAAUCUGCGGGUAAUAACAAUCAAAAACAUGAAGUCUAACGAAUCCGUAAACCGAUCCGUGUUGUCGUCCGGGUCAAUUUAUCGAUACGUCUGCAUGAAAUGAGUAAUCAAUUAAUUUUUUUAAAUCGUUGAUUUCACUGUGCUUUAUUGGCAUAAAUAUACACGUAUGUUCCUUGUUCAUUGAUAACAGAUAAAAAUAUCUGAUUUUAUGUUUAUCUUCAACGUUUGAGUUGUGCCUGUAUGUCAAUUCUGUUACCAAUAUACGGUAUGAAUAUGUCUGUAUCCUGGUUACUAAUAAAUACAGUAAAACGUUUAUUCUA